This is a long non-coding RNA of Lemur catta (Ring-tailed lemur), 177 nucleotides long. RefSeq lists it as uncharacterized. The transcript is spliced from 3 exons. NCBI's taxonomy places the organism in Eukaryota, Metazoa, Chordata, Mammalia, Primates, Lemuridae. The record is from RefSeq and is a predicted model, not a curated record.
GUCAAGUGUUGACUUGUGCAGAGUGAUUUCUUCAGAGUGGGAAGGGUAGAAAAGGAAAAAUUAACUCAAUACUGCAGAACUUUCUGAUGACGUCUAAGUCUCCUUUAUCGCUAUAGAUAAAGAAACAGGUCAUAGCCAAGGCUUGCCAUGAUCUGGAGGACUCAGAAUGAGAACUAC